Molecule: long non-coding RNA, 209 nt
Filed under: Daucus carota (carrot)
Lineage: Eukaryota; Viridiplantae; Streptophyta; Magnoliopsida; Apiales; Apiaceae
Description: long non-coding RNA (DCAR_LNC006818)
Source: RNAcentral
CUAGGGUUUGAUGCCAGGACCUGUAAUAGCGGGGCGCAACAGCCGCUUUUAUGAAAAGCAGGGGUAUACCUGCUUUCUGUAAAAGCAGCUUUUAGACAAAAAGCGCUGUUAGAAAAAGCUGGUUUGGUUGUUACCAAACAACCUUGUAGCAGCUUAUUGACAAAAAGCUGCUGUUGUGGUUGUCAACCACAACCCCAAACAGGCACUUA